UACGUAGGGUGCAAGCGUUAAUCGGAAUUACUGGGCGUAAAGCGUGCGUAGACGGUAGCGUAAGUCGGAUGUGAAAGCCCCGGGCUUAACCUGGGAAUGGCAUUCGAGACUGCAUAGCUAGGAUGCGGAAGAGGGAAGUGGAAUUUCCGGUGUAGCGGUGAAAUGCGUAGAUAUCGGAAGGAACACCAGUGGCGAAAAGCGACUUCCUGGUCCAGCAUCGACGUCAGGCACGAAAGCGUGGGGAGCAAACAGG
This 253-nucleotide ribosomal RNA is filed under the name uncultured bacterium. Its description in RNAcentral is "partial 16S ribosomal RNA". It matches the Rfam family "Bacterial small subunit ribosomal RNA", at positions 524 to 776 of the family's 1533-position model. The record is from RNAcentral.